GACGAACGCUGGCGGCGUGCUUAACACAUGCAAGUCGAACGGAAAGGCCCUGCUUUUGUGGGGUGCUCGAGUGGCGAACGGGUGAGUAACACGUGAGUAACCUGCCCUUGACUUUGGGAUAACUUCAGGAAACUGGGGCUAAUACCGGAUAGGAGCUCCUGCUGCAUGGUGGGGGUUGGAAAUUUUCGGCGGUUGGGGAUGGACUCGCGGCUUAUCAGCUUGUUGGUGGGGUAGUGGCUUACCAAGGCUUUGACGGGUAGCCGGCCUGAGAGGGGGACCGGCCACAUUGGGACUGAGAUACGGCCCAGACUCCUACGGGAGGCAGCAGUGGGGAAUAUUGCACAAUGGGCGGAAGCCUGAUGCAGCAACGCCGCGUGCGGGAUGACGGCCUUCGGGUUGUAAACCGCUUUCGCCUGUGACGAAGCGUGAGUGACGGUAAUGGGUAAAGAAGCACCGGCUAACUACGUG
This 468-nucleotide ribosomal RNA is filed under the name uncultured bacterium. RNAcentral describes it as "partial 16S ribosomal RNA". It matches the Rfam family "Bacterial small subunit ribosomal RNA", at positions 28 to 507 of the family's 1533-position model. The record is from RNAcentral.